RNAcentral lists this ribosomal RNA (253 nucleotides) under uncultured bacterium. RNAcentral describes it as "partial 16S ribosomal RNA". It matches the Rfam family "Bacterial small subunit ribosomal RNA", at positions 524 to 776 of the family's 1533-position model. The record is from RNAcentral.
UACGUAGGGUGCAAGCGUUGUCCGGAAUUAUUGGGCGUAAAGAGCUCGUAGGCGGUUUGUCGCGUCUGCUGUGAAAACUGGGGGCUCAACCCCCAGCCUGCAGUGGGUACGGGCAGACUAGAGUGCGGUAGGGGAGAUUGGAAUUCCUGGUGUAGCGGUGGAAUGCGCAGAUAUCAGGAGGAACACCGAUGGCGAAGGCAGAUCUCUGGGCCAUUACUGACGCUGAGGAGCGAAAGCGUGGGGAGCGAACAGG